AGCGGCGGACGGGUGAGUAAUGCCUAGGAAUCUGCCUGGUAGUGGGGGAUAACGUUCGGAAACGGACGCUAAUACCGCAUACGUCCUACGGGAGAAAGCAGGGGACCUUCGGGCCUUGCGCUAUCAGAUGAGCCUAGGUCGGAUUAGCUAGUUGGUGAGGUAAUGGCUCACCAAGGCGACGAUCCGUAACUGGUCUGAGAGGAUGAUCAGUCACACUGGAACUGAGACACGGUCCAGACUCCUACGGGAGGCAGCAGUGGGGAAUAUUGGACAAUGGGCGAAAGCCUGAUCCAGCCAUGCCGCGUGUGUGAAGAAGGUCUUCGGAUUGUAAAGCACUUUAAGUUGGGAGGAAGGGCAUUAACCUAAUACGUUAGUGUUUUGACGUUACCGACAGAAUAAGCACCGGCUAACUCUGUGCCAGCAGCCGCGGUAAUACAGAGGGUGCAAGCGUUAAUCGGAAUUACUGGGCGUAAAGCGCGCGUAGGUGGUUUGUUAAGUUGGAUGUGAAAUCCCCGGGCUCAACCUGGGAACUGCAUUCAAAACUGACUGACUAGAGUAUGGUAGAGGGUGGUGGAAUUUCCUGUGUAGCGGUGAAAUGCGUAGAUAUAGGAAGGAACACCAGUGGCGAAGGCGACCACCUGGACUAAUACUGACACUGAGGUGCGAAAGCGUGGGGAGCAAACAGGGAUUAGAUACCCUGGUAGUCCACGCCGUAACGAUGUCAACUAGCCGUUGGAAGCCUUGAGCUUUUAGUGGCGCAGCUAACGCAUUAAGUUGACCGCCCUGGGGAGUACGG
RNAcentral lists this ribosomal RNA (796 nucleotides) under Pseudomonas poae. RNAcentral's name for it is "bacterial SSU rRNA". It matches the Rfam family "Bacterial small subunit ribosomal RNA", at positions 94 to 885 of the family's 1533-position model. The record is from RNAcentral. Lineage: Bacteria; Pseudomonadati; Pseudomonadota; Gammaproteobacteria; Pseudomonadales; Pseudomonadaceae.